GCCCCUAUAACUCAAUUGGCAGAGUAGCGGACUCUUAAUCCGUAAAUCCAGGUUCAAGUCCUGGUGGGGGCACCA
Molecule: transfer RNA, 75 nt
Filed under: Candidatus Nealsoniibacteriota bacterium
Lineage: Bacteria; Candidatus Nealsoniibacteriota
Description: Candidatus Nealsonbacteria bacterium tRNA-Lys
Rfam family: tRNA
About the family: Transfer RNA (tRNA) molecules are approximately 80 nucleotides in length. Their secondary structure includes four short double-helical elements and three loops (D, anti-codon, and T loops). Further hydrogen bonds mediate the characteristic L-shaped molecular structure. tRNAs have two regions of fundamental functional importance: the anti-codon, which is responsible for specific mRNA codon recognition, and the 3' end, to which the tRNAs corresponding amino acid is attached (by aminoacyl-tRNA synthetases). tRNAs cope with the degeneracy of the genetic code in two manners: having more than one tRNA (with a specific anti-codon) for a particular amino acid; and 'wobble' base-pairing, i.e. permitting non-standard base-pairing at the 3rd anti-codon position.
Source: RNAcentral